Molecule: ribosomal RNA, 509 nt
Filed under: Papilio alexanor
Lineage: Eukaryota; Metazoa; Arthropoda; Insecta; Lepidoptera; Papilionidae
Description: partial LSU rRNA
Rfam family: Bacterial large subunit ribosomal RNA (bases 385-509)
Source: RNAcentral
UUUUUGAAAAUAAUUUAAAGUCUAAUCUGCCCACUGAUAAAUUAUUAAAGGGCUGCAGUAUUUUGACUGUACAAAGGUAGCAUAAUCAUUAGUCUCUUAAUUGGUGACUUGUAUGAAAGAUUGGAUGAAAUAUAAACUGUCUCUAAAUAAUUUGUAAAAUUUAAUUUUUUAGUUAAAAAGCUAAAAUAUAAUUAAAAGACGAGAAGACCCUAUAGAGUUUUAUAAUUUAAUUAAUUAUUUUUAAUAUGUAAAUUUUAAAUUUAAAAUUAAUUAAAUUAUUUUGUUGGGGUGAUAGAAAAAUUAAAUUAACUUUUUUUUAUAUUUAACAUUAAUAUAUGAUUAUAUGAUCCAUUUUUAGUGAUUAAAAGAAAAAAUUACCUUAGGGAUAACAGCGUAAUUUUUUUUUUUAGUUCAAAUAGGAAAAAAAGUUUGCGACCUCGAUGUUGGAUUAAGAUAAAAUUUAAAUGCAAAAGUUUAAAAUUUUGAUCUGUUCGAUCAUUAAAAUCUUA